AUGUGUUCUAACAUAUCCGAUAGUUGGUCAUUCGAUCGACCUCUCUUGUUAUUUACUCAAUACAGUAAAUAUUUGCAGUGUAUGGGAGCUUUGUAUGUUCAAAUUGGUCUUGGAUAUAUUGGAAUGUUGUUGAAUUUGAAAAUGAUGAAUUUCGGGUCUCUUGUCUUUCUACAUGUCAAUUUAAAUAUUUGCAGUUAGCAGGAAGGUUUUCUUUGGGAUAUAUAAUAGGCUAG
Molecule: long non-coding RNA, 233 nt
Filed under: Prunus dulcis (almond)
Lineage: Eukaryota; Viridiplantae; Streptophyta; Magnoliopsida; Rosales; Rosaceae
Description: sRNA ncRNA
Source: RNAcentral